Molecule: long non-coding RNA, 2687 nt
Organism: Manihot esculenta (cassava)
Lineage: Eukaryota; Viridiplantae; Streptophyta; Magnoliopsida; Malpighiales; Euphorbiaceae
Exons: 2
Source: RefSeq, a predicted model, not a curated record
UUAAUGUUAAAAUUAGAGAAAUCAUUUUUUUUUAUUUUCUAUUUUCUCUGUUUCCCUCGAUACGAAAUAAUCUGAUACAUUUGUAGUUGUUAGAUGGAAGAUACUGAAUCUUGAUCAACCCCCAGGGAGAACUUAUGGGUGCAGCAACUUUUUUCUCAUAGGUUUCUAGUGGUUGCAGCAACUCAAGGUUCUGCAUACUCCAGCAAACCCGGACAAAUCAGCCUCUCUUGAGCUAGACCAGAUUCCGAUGAGCCCCCUCCUUGGGCUCGGGAUGAAGAGAGUCAAUGCCAACGGCAACGCCAACUCUGCAAAGUAGAAUAUCGAGAUUCCCUACCUUGUUUACUUACUUGCCUCAGAAAUCAACACAAUUGCUGCAAUAAGCUUCUUUUUCAUUUCUACCCUAUAAACCAAGAAAAUUAAAAUAUCAAAAUUGUAAAUUGGUUCACUGAUUAGAUUUGAAUUGAACGAAUGCUGAUAGGUUCUGGGUUUGAGUAUGUGAAUCAGAGCAUCUUCUAUGAUCCAUUGCUCGGGUUCUUUGCCUUCACCAGCAUCCCAACUUCUGAAUUUUGUGGUUCAAGUCUGUUAAAAUUAGAAGCUGAAAAACAAGACAGGAGAGGUGGAUAUCUUUAAGGUCAAGAACCCCUGACGCUUCUUGCUUUUCUCUUUGUUGGAAUACGAGUAAUCUCUUCUCAAUUACUGAUACAAUGUUGCUUCUUCUAUUGUUACAUUUCUGAAGUUCACCUGUGAAUACCACAACGAGCUCAGAGAACAAUCUGCAUUUCUAUGUAAAGAAUGUUAAAAUAUGAAAUAAAUACAUUAAUUUUACUUAUCAAUUGUUUCAAACAAUACAUUUCAAAUGAAUUUUAUGAUUUUGAAAAGUAAUCCAAACACAUGAAUUUUCUUAUAAGUUCAUCUGAAUUGAAUUCUAUAAUGAUUCUGGACAAUGAGAUAUAACUAGGUUAAUAUGCUGAGUAAGCUCAAGUUUUUCAGUGUCGUGUGUAAAAGAGCAGCAUUAUUUGUCUGUAGAAUGUGCUUGACAGAACGGAUGGCACUAUCAAGCAAUCUUGAUAAAUUGCAACUUUAUAUAGUAUCUAGGCAAAAAUUUCCUCAUGGCAGAGUUAUUUGUCUGUGUCAUUAUUGCCUGAAGCAUAGCCUGUGUAGGUGAAUUACCAACAAAGUUGAUGGAUUAAUACUGAUAAUAUGCAACUUGGUGACUUGAGAUGACAUGGAGGAUGGCAGUGAAAAGACUUACCAGCCUCGUAACUAUUUGAAAAGAUAUAGUCCUAAACCAAAUGAAAUGGAGCAGAUAGAUUCAUAUAGCCAGUUCCAAGUAGUUCAUGAUUGAUUGAGUUGAAUUUAUUAUAGAGCACUCUGAUUCUCAAGAAAACGAGAUUAAAGUCUUAGCAAAUGUAGACAAGGUCUAGAUUAUGAUUAGGACGUUGUAGAAUCUAUAUAAAGUCCUAGUUUUGCAUUUAUACAAACAGGUGCUGCUCAGUCUUUUGUGAAGUCCAGGAUGCACAUGCAAAGAUGUAGAUGAGCUGGAAUCAGGAAGUAGGUCUCCCCCUCUCUCUCAUCUAAUUUUUUUAUCCAAUAAAUCCUUUUAAGAAAUAAUCUUAUGACAGGUGAAUUAAAAAUUUUUUAGUUAAAAUUAAUUAAAAUAAUAGUUAAAAUAUAGAUAAAUAUAAAAAAUAAAUUUAUUAUCUAAAAUUUUAAAAUUAAAAUGCGUUUAAUAAAUGAAAUUGGUAAACUUUGUUUUAUCAUAUUUAGAGGACAAUCGAUUUAGGAAUUAGGAUGGCUUUUCAUCCUGUGAGGUUUGAUUGCUUUGGAAUCUUUAGGAAUUAGGUGCAAUUACCUGGUCCUUUUUAUCUCAUUUUUCCCCUUUUUCCUUUUACUUUCUUUUCUUUUUCUGACACAUUCAGAUGUGAAUACUGGAAAGUACUUUCAGAAUUUAUGCAUUAGACGGCCUUUUUCUUUUUUGAUGAAUAGACUGUCAUUUUUUUUACCCCAUUUUGAAAAUACCGUUUCUUCUUCUUUUUUUUUUUCGAAAAAUUGAAUUUCAUUGAAAGUUAAAUAGGUAUAAAGCCAAAUAUAAAUAUGUGCUGAGAAAAGGGUGCGUUUUUGUUGAUGACAAAGAAUCAGGGUGCUUAUGAUUUUGUCUGUAAAAGUUAGGGACCAUAUAUAUAUAAUAUCCCUGGUCAUGGAAUGGAUGAUUCAGAGUUUGAAAGUAAUAGAUUCCACACAAGGGUAUCUUAAAAAGAAAUUUACAUGGCUGUAAAUUAUUCUGACGGCUUCAGACCAACUUGUCAUGAACAGCAACCAGUUAUCUAGUUUGACAGGUGAGCGUCACGGUUUUUUUAUUGUUAUCUUGCUGUCAGACUAAUUAAGUUUGUAAGCCUUUCUUUUUUUUUCUCCCAACAGAAAUGAAGAUUUAUUUCUUUGACGAAAAUGGUACAAUAAUUUGGACUUUGGACAUAUUAUUUUCAGUAAAUUAUUGGAAGUAUGUUAUGUUCUAAGUUAGCGUAAGAUGGAAUUUUGAAGAAUCAAAGACUUGGAAGACAAUUAAUUUUGUUUGCUUAGCGGGAUACUUUUGAUAAAUUGUUUGACAAGUUAUUUAACAAUUUUUCAUUUAAUUAAUAAGAGAAAAUUUUCAUGGCGUGCAGUGCCGGUGACUAAAAUUUUUGCUGUUA